This 253-nucleotide ribosomal RNA is filed under the name uncultured bacterium. RNAcentral describes it as "partial 16S ribosomal RNA". It matches the Rfam family "Bacterial small subunit ribosomal RNA", at positions 524 to 776 of the family's 1533-position model. The record is from RNAcentral.
GACGGAGGGUGCAAACGUUGUUCGGAAUCACUGGGCAUAAAGAGCACGUAGGCUGCGCGCUAAGUCAGGUGUGAAAUCCCCCGGCUCAACCGGGGAACUGCACCUGAUACUGGCGUGCUCGAGGACGGUAGGGGUGAGUGGAACUCCAGGUGGAGCGGUGAAAUGCGUAGAUAUCUGGAGGAACACCGAUGGCGAAGGCAGGUCUCUGGGCAUUAACUGACGCUGAGGAGCGAAAGCACGGGGAGCGAACAGG